UACAGAGGGGGCCAGCGUUAUUCGGAAUUAUUGGGCGUAAAGGGCGCGUAGGCGGCCUGGUCAGUCGGAUGUGAAAGCCCGGGGCUCAACCCCGGAACGGCAUCCGAGACGGCCAGGCUGGAGACCGGGAGAGGAGAGUGGAAUAGCCAGUGUAGAGGUGAAAUUCGUAGAUAUUGAGUGGAACACCGGUGGCGAAAGCGGCUCUCUGGUCCGGACCUGACGCUGAGGCGCGAAAGCGUGGGGAGCAAACAGG
Molecule: ribosomal RNA, 253 nt
Filed under: uncultured bacterium
Lineage: Bacteria
Description: partial 16S ribosomal RNA
Rfam family: Bacterial small subunit ribosomal RNA
Source: RNAcentral